Saccostrea echinata is the source of this 1232-nucleotide long non-coding RNA. RefSeq lists it as uncharacterized. NCBI's taxonomy places the organism in Eukaryota, Metazoa, Mollusca, Bivalvia, Ostreida, Ostreidae. The record is from RefSeq and is a predicted model, not a curated record. The transcript is spliced from 2 exons.
CGACUUCCGAGAUACGUUUCCGACCCGAUUUUUACAUCACGCAAAAGUGAAAUGUAGGGCAUGUUUACUUCCGUUUUCAUCGUAAACGAUGGCGUCAUUAGAUACAGACUGCGAUUACGACUAUAAUUUCAAUUCUUGGCAAGUGCCUAUGCUGAAAGACCUUUUAUCCUUUAAAGGAAUAGCUUUUUCAAUAUAUUAAAAUCAUCAUUUGAUAAGACUUUGUGAACUGGGAGUUGAAAUUCAGAAGUGGCAGAUGAUUAGGCCUACAGGGUGGUGAUGUCAAACUGUUGGAGAUAAAGUUUUCCGAAAUAUAACAAGUGUUGAUAGGUGGUCUGAAGAUCUCAUAAAACUGCCGAACAUUGAGAUUUCCGAUGUUUUCAUAAAACUUUUGAACGAUGGCUGGAGUACGUUAUUCUCGGUUGAAAACAGAGACAAGACAAUGGAUACAGACUAAAACAACCACGUUGAUAAAGUGAAAGUGUCCCCCCUGUCUGAUGAUUUUCAGUACAUCAAGUGUGACACAGUUCCUGAGACUAGCCAGAUGCAGAUCCGUACAAGACCUGGAUAUUUGUUGAGGGCAAUGAACAGAUUCACUCAGGUGGAUGUAGUAGAUGAUGGGUCGUGUAAGCACUGUACAGCUUCGAUAUUUGCUGUGGCUUCAUUCUGUGAGAGGCACAAAGACUGUCACACUCAAGUCGGAACAGAUAUUCCAUGUGUUUGGGACAAUUUUUUAAGCCUCGUGUCAUCUCAUCUUGUAUUGGCCAAUUACAUAAAACUACAGGACUAUACAGGAGAAGAACCUGAAGUUAGCGCUCACCAUUCAAUAAACAACCCAUGCAAGUCCUUGAACAACAACUCUAUUAAAGAAAUUGAAGAAAAAAAAUUGUUUCAACUCCUGUGUUUUUACACAAAAUGUGGAUUUUUCUGUGAGCAAAUACAUUAUGAUCCUUUGAAAUUUGAGGAAAUAGUACAAAAAUGUGAAUAUCUCUUUGACAAACAUUUGAAAGUUGCAAUUAUGUCUCUCUAAGUAUAGCAGAGCAACAAAUUUGUAAAUGAGAUAAGCAUGUAAUGCAUAAUAAUUUAUGGCAUUCUUGAUUAUAACAGUGAGGAAAAACUUAAAACACUUUUGGUCUAAGGUACAGGAUUCAUUAAUAUUCAUAAUUUAUUGAUGGCAGAAUACCUGAACUGAUAAAUAUAAAUUAGGAACAAACAAUAAAAUAUUUCAAUCAUCA